RNAcentral lists this small nuclear RNA (313 nucleotides) under Saimiri boliviensis boliviensis (Bolivian squirrel monkey). Its description in RNAcentral is "7SK RNA (ENSSBOG00000001877.1)". It matches the Rfam family "7SK RNA". Rfam says of the family: 7SK was discovered as an abundant small nuclear RNA in the mid-70s but a possible function has only recently been suggested. Two independent studies have found that 7SK RNA binds the CDK9/cyclin T complex (known as elongation factor P-TEFb). P-TEFb activates transcription by phosphorylating the C-terminal domain of RNA polymerase II. Lineage: Eukaryota; Metazoa; Chordata; Mammalia; Primates; Cebidae. The record is from Rfam by way of RNAcentral.
AGAUGGGAGGGUGACCUGCAUGUAACAUCUGUGACCUAAUUGAUGGCCAAGGUUAAUUUUAACUGACAGAGCUAGUUAGGUAGGUGUUCCUUUCCUCCCACACUAUACCAUGUGUGCCCCUGCCAAAGCUGAUGCCUUGGUCAGAGAAUGACCUUCCCCAAUAGAGGAAAACCAUUCUUCUAUUGAAGGUAUACAAGCAGCUGAACUCUCAGCUAGAAUCUCCAAAAAAAAGUCUCAAAAUUGGAGGACUCAAACUUCCUGAUAUCAAAACUUACUACAAAGCUACAGUAAUCAAUACAGUGUACACUGUCUU